UAAAGAAUUUCGGUCAUCGAUGGGGAUGCGUUCCAUUAGCUUGUUGGCGGGGUAACGGCCCACCAAGGCAUCGAUGGAUAGGGGUUCUGAGAGGAAGGUCCCCCACAUUGGAACUGAGACACGGUCCAAACUCCUACGGGAGGCAGCAGUGAGGAAUAUUGGUCAAUGGGCGCUAGCCUGAACCAGCCAAGUAGCGUGAAGGAUGACUGCCCUAUGGGUUGUAAACUUCUUUUAUAUGGGAAUAAAGUGCAGUAUGUAUACUGCUUUGCAUGUACCUUAUGAAUAAGGAUCGGCUAACUCCGUGCCAGCAGCCGCGGUAAUACGGAGGAUCCGAGCGUUAUCCGGAUUUAUUGGGUUUAAAGGGAGCGUAGGCGGGUUGUUAAGUCAGUUGUGAAAGUUUGCGGCUCAACCGUAAAAUUGCAGUUGAUACUGGCAUCCUUGAGUACAGUAGAGGUAGGCGGAAUUCGUGGUGUAGCGGUGAAAUGCUUAGAUAUCACGAAGAACUCCGAUUGCGAAGGCAGCCUGCUGGACUGUAACUGACGCUGAUGCUCGAAAGUGUGGGUAUCAAACAGGAUUAGAUACCCUGGUAGUCCACACAGUAAACGAUGAAUACUCGCUGUUUGCGAUAUA
Molecule: ribosomal RNA, 630 nt
Filed under: uncultured bacterium
Lineage: Bacteria
Description: bacterial SSU rRNA
Rfam family: Bacterial small subunit ribosomal RNA
Source: RNAcentral